UACUAUGUUACGACUUAUCUCACUUCUGAGAGCGACGGGCGAGAUGUGCAUAUUUUAGAGCUUGAUUCAAAUACUCAUAAUAUUAGUAUUUUACUAUUAAAUCCUAAAAAUUUUUUCAUUAAAAAAAUUACAUUAAAAUUAAUGUAAUUCACCUCAUUCAUAAUUAUUUGAUGCACCUUGACUUAAUAUGCUUUUUUAAAAAAAAAAUUUCAAAUAUUACUAUUCAAUAUAAUUAAUAUAGUGGUAUACAAACUGAUUUAAAUUACAAAAUUAAGUAAGAUUGAGGCGUUGUGUCCAUUACAGAGCAAAUUCCUCUAAUAAGCUUAAAAUACCGCCAAAAUUUUUUGAUUUCGUAAAUUUUAUUUACUCCCAAUAUAUAGCUUAAAAUAAUAGGGUAUCUAAUCCUAGUUU
This 411-nucleotide ribosomal RNA is filed under the name Ixodes scapularis (black-legged tick). RNAcentral describes it as "partial 12S ribosomal RNA". Lineage: Eukaryota; Metazoa; Arthropoda; Arachnida; Ixodida; Ixodidae. The record is from RNAcentral.